GCACGCCUAGCUCAGUUGGUUAGAGCACCUCGUUUACACCGAGGGGGUCGAGGGUUCGAAUCCCCCGGCGUGUACCA
This 77-nucleotide transfer RNA is filed under the name Candidatus Magasanikiibacteriota bacterium. RNAcentral describes it as "Candidatus Magasanikbacteria bacterium tRNA-Val". It matches the Rfam family "tRNA". Rfam says of the family: Transfer RNA (tRNA) molecules are approximately 80 nucleotides in length. Their secondary structure includes four short double-helical elements and three loops (D, anti-codon, and T loops). Further hydrogen bonds mediate the characteristic L-shaped molecular structure. tRNAs have two regions of fundamental functional importance: the anti-codon, which is responsible for specific mRNA codon recognition, and the 3' end, to which the tRNAs corresponding amino acid is attached (by aminoacyl-tRNA synthetases). tRNAs cope with the degeneracy of the genetic code in two manners: having more than one tRNA (with a specific anti-codon) for a particular amino acid; and 'wobble' base-pairing, i.e. permitting non-standard base-pairing at the 3rd anti-codon position. The record is from RNAcentral. Lineage: Bacteria; Candidatus Magasanikiibacteriota.